This is a long non-coding RNA of Patella vulgata (common limpet), 2804 nucleotides long. RefSeq lists it as uncharacterized. NCBI's taxonomy places the organism in Eukaryota, Metazoa, Mollusca, Gastropoda, Patellidae. The transcript has 3 exons. The record is from RefSeq and is a predicted model, not a curated record.
CAUUACACCCUAAGGACAGCUGAGUUCAAAUUUCGUGAAAAUCGGCCUAAAAUUGACAGACAAAAUGGCCGCCCUUCGUUCUCAAAUAGCGUAAAAAUAUGGUAAAUCAAGGUUGUGGACCCUAUAUAGGUCACAAUUUUUAUCCGAUUUUGUUGAAACUUGAAAUGUAAGUUUAUAAACCAAAGAUCUCGGUUCCUUUCGAUAUUCGCGCAUAUCGGACUGUAACUUCCUGAAUUAUGGCGUUUUUAGCUUGUGGACCCUAUAGAGGUCAUAAUUUUUAUCUGAUUUAAAAAGCUGUAUUAUUAUAUCACCGUUACAUCCUAAGGAUUGCUGAGUUCGAAUUUCAUGUAAAUCGGCCCCAAAUUGACAGACAAAAUGGCUGCAGUCCGUUCUCAAAUAGCGUAAAAAAUAUGGUAUAUCAAGGUUGUGGACCCAAAGAAAUUUUUUAAAUCCCAUCACUGGUUGGAACAUAUAUCCUUAUUUCCUUUUUAUACGACCACAUUUAAAUGUGGUCGUAUAUUGUUGUCCCCCCUGUCCGACGUUCCGCCGUCUACAAUUGACGGAUCGCAGCUGUCACUCAAAAUAAUAAAUCAACCAAUCAAGAAACGCCUUCCCUUCUGCGUGAGCCGGCUAUAUUUUGUCCGUCAUUGUGCCCGUCAACUUAGCCCGCCAGACGUAAAUAAAGGUAUUUCCAGCAGACGUUAACCACCAACCCGUCAUAAUGGUAAAGAGAUGUGCUUGGGGUACGUGUAAUUCGGAUAGUAGAUACCCGGAGAGCCUGACAGGAGGGAUAACCUUUAUUCCUUUCCCAAAGCUUGGAAGAACACGCGAUAAAGCCAGACGAUGGAUACGUUUAUGCGGACGACCUUUCGAGCAGUUAAACGGAGAGAUACUGGGUGAGCGGAGAAAGGCCAAACAUCUGCUUGUGUGCACUAAGGUUAUUAUUUAUUUAUACUUUUAUGCAUAUAGACUUUCUUGCCUACUAUAUUUUUUUCCAAACAAAAUGAAAUACCUGUACUUGACUAUUGCAUCAUCAUUUUUGUGAUGUAGGCCUAUCACCACUGGCACUAGUACUGGUAGGCCUAUAGGCCUAGCCAUAGGGCUACCUAAUAGUAUUAUAUAAUUAUACUAUUUAUAUAGGCUAAUUAUAUGUGGCUGUUUUUAAAGUGUUUUGCCAAUGUGACAUUAAAAUGUCAGUUCAAACAUUUUUCUAAAUUUAUUCCGUUAUUGCACCAGGGCAGAAGUGACUGACAGCCAGUGCAGAAACCAUCUUUUUUAUAAAUUAUAAUCAUCAAUAUAGAAAUUGAUCUUAUUUCAAUUUGAAUCGUUUCUUGUUUGACUCCUACAGGACAGGCCUGCAGGCUGAAUAGUUCAGGCAUGAGCCUUAAUUUCAAGUUUGAAUAAAAAGUUUGAAAAAAAAAAAAAAAAAAAAAAAUAGACAAAAAGCAAAUCAAGUUGCCAAUUAACAGCUUGGUAAUAUCAAUAUGAAUGAUAUGGUCAUGUAAGUAUGUAAACUUACUUAUAUAAUAACAUUCUUCUUAUAUUUUGGCCUCCUUUUAGCCAGAUCCCAUCGCUGCAUUGCACUAUGAUCACAUUACUCAACCUAGACCACCACCCAAACCCAGAAGUAAUUAUAUUGAGAAACCUGCAGUGGUUGAAUCAAAGGUUUUAAGAGUUUCUAUAAAGUCAAAUAAUAAUAUUGAGUAUGAAAACUGUGAAGUAAAUGCAUUGAAUAAUAAAAUGGUACAGACAGAGAAUGCAGUUAAUACUGCCACAGGAUUUCAAUCGAUGGACAUCUUGGCCCUUGCUGCAGAAAAUAUGAAAAUGAAGGAAGAACAUGCAAAGUUAAUUCUGGAAAAUGAUAAUCUUAAAUGCGGUCAAGUUCAACAAGUAGAUAAAGGAACUAGUAUCGACCUAUCAACGCAAUGUUUUAGUUGUUCAACUUUAAAAAAAGAUUCAUUUCAAUAUUAUACUGGCUUUUCAUAUGACCGUUUUUAUAAUGUAUAUAAGGUUUUUGUACCAGCAGAUGAUUUACCAUUUGAAUUUUCUAAGAAUAUUAGCAGCUUAUUCGAUGUUUCUCUAGACGAUCAGCUUCUAUUAGUUUUAAUAAAAUUAAGACAGGACAUUGAUUUUAAACACAUAUCAGAUAUGUUUGGAAUUUCUUCCCAAGAUUGUAGCUGUUUAUUUUCUAAUUGGAUCAACUAUAUGUUUUACAGUCUUGACUCUCUUUUUAUAUGGCCAAACAGAGACAUUAUCAUUGAAAAUUUAAAACUGAUUAUCCCAACACAAUAGUCAUAAUUGAUGGAACAGAAAUAAAAAUUCAGAGACCAAGUUCCCUCCAUAGACAGAGGCAAUGUUAUUCAGACUACAAAUCUUGUACCACACUGACGGGUCUUGUUGGUGUUGACCCAAGGGGAUCUAUUGUGUUUGCAUCUAUGUUAUUUUCUGGAUCAAUCUCAGGCAAAGAAAUAAUGCACAGAAGUGGGUUUUUGGACACUUUCAAAUCAUUAUUACAAAGUGGUAAACUGCAAGAAGGUGAUGGAGUUAUGACCGAUAAAGGAUUUACGAUAGAAAAAGAAAUCAAUAAAGUCGGAUUAUGCUGAAAUAUUCCACCAUUUGUGCCAUGAUCCACCUCCCAAAUGAGUGCCCCAGCCGUUGCAGAGACAAUUAAAAUAGCUAAACAGGGUACAUGUUGAAAGAGCAAUAUGUCAGGUUAAACAGUUUAAACUCCUAAGCAAUAAAGUUAGUCUGAGCUUGUUCAGCUGUGUUAAUCAAAUAUGGCUUGUCUGUUGUGUUUUAACGAA